AUUGAACGCUGGCGGCAUGCUUUACACAUGCAAGUCGGACGGCAGCACAGAGGAGCUUGCUUCUUGGGUGGCGAGUGGCGAACGGGUGAGUAACGCAUCGGAACGUACCGAGUAAUGGGGGAUAACUGUCCGAAAGGACAGCUAAUACCGCAUACGCCCUGAGGGGGAAAGCGGGGGAUCUUAGGACCUCGCGUUAUUCGAGCGGCCGAUGUCUGAUUAGCUGGUUGGCGGGGUAAAGGCCCACCAAGGCGACGAUCAGUAGCGGGUCUGAGAGGAUGAUCCGCCACACUGGGACUGAGACACGGCCCAGACUCCUACGGGAGGCAGCAGUGGGGAAUUUUGGACAAUGGGCGCAAGCCUGAUCCAGCCAUGCCGCGUGUCUGAAGAAGGCCUUCGGGUUGUAAAGGACUUUUGUCAGGGAAGAAAAGGGGCAUGUUAAUACCGUGCUCUGAUGACGGUACCUGAAGAAUAAGCACCGGCUAACUACGUG
Molecule: ribosomal RNA, 490 nt
Filed under: uncultured bacterium
Lineage: Bacteria
Description: partial 16S ribosomal RNA
Rfam family: Bacterial small subunit ribosomal RNA
Source: RNAcentral